UGCGCCAUCAGCAGCCUGCGCUUCUUGGGGUGAGGGAAGGCACGGUUGGAGGGCAGGCAAAGUGUGAUUAUUGCUAACUCGCCGACGCAGCCCAGCGCCAGCGCCAGCGCCAGCGUCUGCUCCAGCUUCAACUCCAGGAGCGAGGGGCCGGCGGCCGCUGACUUCUCACUGUCUGCUGCGAGAGCCUGCAACCAACUUCUCGAGCUCGGCCUGGCUGUCCAGGGAGCCAGCCCUGGAGACAAGUGCCUUGGAAUGUUUUGUCUAUUGUGAAGCUUUUGCUUUUGCGGCUGAAAGAUUCAGUUCCAGGGGAGAGAGAUGCCAUAAAGUCGCUGCUCAGAAGAGGCUGGGGCUGGGAGAUGUACUAUCAUUUGGCUACCGUGGCACUGGACCUCCAAUCUGGUGAUCAUUUCAUUCCCCAAGCCUUCUACUCUAUUCCUCCUGAGCUCAAACAAGGUUUACAGAGAAAUACAGGGACAUGUUGAUAAAUGAUUAAUAACAGGCACUUCCCUCCCCCACCAAAAAAGAGUGAAGUCCAACCAGAGGCUUCCCUGGGACAGCCAAUACUCCUCAAGAAGAAAUCUGCUUCAGUUCUUUUGAACAGCACAUGUUAUAUUAAGCUAUUGCACACAACAUGAUGUGAAGACCUCUCUACACAGACCUGCUUUCAAGUCCAGCUUUAGAAUUAGAAUGGAACAGCUGAAUGUCCUUGCAAUGGUUUGUGGGAACAGGAAGACUUCCAGCCUGUGACCUGAGGAAGUAUGGGGACAUACUGGUGGGAGUCAACAAGUGUUCAGUUGUUUUUGCUGUUAUUUUAUUAAUGAAUUAAUUUGUUCAUUCAUUCAUUCAUUCACUUAUUUAUUUUUUGCUUUCUUGGAGAGGUGGGGAAGCAGAUAAACAAAUUACAUACAGAAAGAUGAUGUUAAGAGAUUGAUGAAGAUCCCUGAAUAUUGUCAGUGUCACCAUCCAGUUAUUGCCCUAAAGAUGUGGGAAAUAAAGUCAAGUUAUUGUUUCAAAUUCCUCACCUAUUUUCUUAAAUAUAAAAAUGACAAUACUAGUUUAUGUGCCAUUUUAUUUCAGCAGGCAUGGGGUUGGGUCCAAUCAAGUGUUGAAAUACAUUUGUAGUAGAACCAAAAAAUAAAACUGCUAUCAAGUCACUCAAUAUCUUAGGUAUCAGUUUCCUCAUCUGUAAAAAAUUUUAAAAAUUGAAUAUAUCUAUUUGGUAUAAUAGGUAU
Dromiciops gliroides (monito del monte) is the source of this 1232-nucleotide long non-coding RNA. RefSeq lists it as uncharacterized. The record is from RefSeq and is a predicted model, not a curated record. The transcript has 4 exons. NCBI's taxonomy places the organism in Eukaryota, Metazoa, Chordata, Mammalia, Microbiotheria, Microbiotheriidae.